GAUGAACGCUGGCGGCGUGCUUAACACAUGCAAGUCGAACGGACAGGCCCUGCUCUUGUGGGGUGCUCGAGUGGCGAACGGGUGAGUAACACGCGAGUAUCCCGCCCUUGUCUUUGGGAUAUCUCCAGGAAACUGGGGAUAAAACCGGAUAGGAGCUCCUGCUCCAUGGUGGGCGAUGGAAAGUUUCGGCGGUUGGGGAUGGUCUCGCGGCUUAUCAGCUUGAUGGUGGAGUAGUGGCAUACCAAGGCUGCGACGGAUAGCCGGCGUGAGAGGGUGACCGGCCACAUUGGGACUGAGGUACGGCCCAGACUGCUACGGGAGGCAGCAGUGGGGAGUAUUGCGCAAUGGGCGGGAGCCUGAGGCGACAGCGCCGCGAGCGGAAUGACGGGCUUCGGGGUGUGAACAGCUUUCGACGGUAACGAGGCGGGAUUGACGGUACUGGGUAAAAAAGCACCGGCUAACUACGUG
RNAcentral lists this ribosomal RNA (468 nucleotides) under uncultured bacterium. Its description in RNAcentral is "partial 16S ribosomal RNA". It matches the Rfam family "Bacterial small subunit ribosomal RNA", at positions 28 to 507 of the family's 1533-position model. The record is from RNAcentral.